UCUAGGCUCAGUUGUAGACUUGUAAAUCUAUGCCUUAGUUUUGCACAUCUUGCCUUGCUUGAAAGCUCAUAUGAGUGUUUUGAUAAACUGAUUCAGAACGAGUUACAUGCUAAGUGUGUGUGAGAUUUUACUUGCAUUAUGUGCUUGCAUGCGAUACCUAGAACUUGCCCUGUGUGUUUUCAACGCGAAAUAGAAGUUGUUUGGUUUAGAGAUGAUUGAGGCAUUUCUUUUUGUAAGUUUAUAUAUAAUUGUGAAUCCACCUAUCUAUAUUGCCAUAGUCAACCCCUUUGAGCCUGAAGCCUGUUCUUUGAUAACCCUAUAAUGACCUAUAUCCUUGUGUUUGAAUAGAUGAUUGUUUGAACCUAUAUCUCCUAGAAGCACUUGAAUCACUAAAGAACACACAAAAGCUAAAGUGUGGGGUGGUGGGGAG
RNAcentral lists this long non-coding RNA (430 nucleotides) under Nicotiana benthamiana. Its description in RNAcentral is "long non-coding RNA (NBEN_LNC024028)". The record is from RNAcentral. Lineage: Eukaryota; Viridiplantae; Streptophyta; Magnoliopsida; Solanales; Solanaceae.